This 530-nucleotide small RNA is filed under the name Pongo abelii (Sumatran orangutan). Its description in RNAcentral is "retained intron". The record is from RNAcentral. Lineage: Eukaryota; Metazoa; Chordata; Mammalia; Primates; Hominidae.
UCGCAGUGGGGUGAGGCACCCCCCGCAAUGCGGGGAGGGCUGAGGCUGGGGUCUGGGCUGUUCCGGACUUCAACACUCACCCUUUGUCCCCCCGCAGGGCUAUGGCGUGUGCUCGGUGGGGCUGGAGCGGCUGGCUUACCUCCUCGUGGCUUACAGCCUGGGCGCCUCAGCCGCCUCACUCCUGGGCCUGCUGGGGCUGUGGCUGCCACGCCCGGUGCCCCUGGUGGCUGGAGCAGGGGUGCACCUGCUGCUCACCUUCAUCCUCUUUUUCUGGGCCCCUGUGCCUCGGGUCCUGCAACACAGCUGGAUCCUCUAUGUGGCAGCCGCCCUUUGGGGUGUGGGCAGCGCCCUGAACAAGACUGGACUCAGCACACUCCUGGGAAUCUUGUACGAAGACAAGGAGAGACAGGACUUCAUCUUCACCAUCUACCACUGGUGGCAGGCUGUGGCCAUCUUCACCGUGUACCUGGGCUCGAGCCUGCACAUGAAGGCUAAGCUGGCGGUGCUGCUGGUGACGCUGGUGGCGGCCG